GAUGAACGCUGGCGGCGUGCCUAACACAUGCAAGUCGAGCGAGAAAUAAACGAACAAAGCUUCGGUGGAGUUAGUUUAUGGAAAGCGGCGGACGGGUGAGUAACGCGUAGGCAACCUGCCCCAUACAGGGGGAUAGCCUCGGGAAACCGGGAUUAAUACCUCAUAACACGAAGAGCCCGCAUGGGCAAUUGGUCAAAGAUUUAUCGGUAUGGGAUGGGCCUGCGUCUGAUUAGCUGGUUGGUAGGGUAACGGCCUACCAAGGCAACGAUCAGUAGCCGACCUGAGAGGGUGAUCGGCCACAUUGGAACUGAGACACGGUCCAAACUCCUACGGGAGGCAGCAGUGGGGAAUAUUGCACAAUGGGCGCAAGCCUGAUGCAGCAACGCCGCGUGAGCGAAGAAGGCCUUCGGGUCGUAAAGCUCUGUCCAUGGGGAAGAAACAAAUGACGGUACCCAUGGAGGAAGCCCCGGCUAACUACGUGCCAGCCGCCGCAGUAACAC
Molecule: ribosomal RNA, 500 nt
Filed under: uncultured bacterium
Lineage: Bacteria
Description: bacterial SSU rRNA
Rfam family: Bacterial small subunit ribosomal RNA
Source: RNAcentral